Ribosomal RNA from Lepisosteus oculatus (spotted gar), 119 nucleotides. NCBI's taxonomy places the organism in Eukaryota, Metazoa, Chordata, Actinopteri, Semionotiformes, Lepisosteidae. The record is from Ensembl.
GUCAGCAGCCAUAUCACCCUGCAACUCACAACUGGCAACCCACUGAAGCUAAGCAGGUGUGAGCCUGGUCCGUACCUGGAAGGGAGACCUCCUGGGAAAAACUAAGGUUGCUGCUGGAA